AUUGCUUCUCGGUCUUUUGGCUAAGAUUAAGUGUAGUGUCUGGUCUCAUCAGUUUAAUAACUGAUAGACCCUCCUUCUGAGGACAGGAUAUUAAAUGAUUUGGGAGCAGGGAGUUGGAGUAGGAGGUUGCUCCAUCCACUCCACACACCAACCUGGUAUUGCAGUGUUCCCAGGAAUGGCGAAAGAAAG
This is a small nuclear RNA of Sorex araneus (European shrew), 189 nucleotides long. Its record names the gene U2. It matches the Rfam family "U2 spliceosomal RNA". From Rfam's summary of the family: U2 is a small nuclear RNA (snRNA) component of the spliceosome (involved in pre-mRNA splicing). Complementary binding between U2 snRNA (in an area lying towards the 5' end but 3' to hairpin I) and the branchpoint sequence (BPS) of the intron results the bulging out of an unpaired adenosine, on the BPS, which initiates a nucleophilic attack at the intronic 5' splice site, thus starting the first of two transesterification reactions that mediate splicing. Lineage: Eukaryota; Metazoa; Chordata; Mammalia; Eulipotyphla; Soricidae. The record is from Ensembl.